CGGCGCUCCGGAGAUGGCAUUCCUCCGUUCCCAACCGCUGUGCUGCUGCAGCUGAUGAUGCCUACAGACAC
Molecule: non-coding RNA, 71 nt
Rfam family: Fluoride riboswitch aptamer (crcB RNA motif)